This 206-nucleotide long non-coding RNA is filed under the name Elaeis guineensis (African oil palm). Its description in RNAcentral is "long non-coding RNA (EGUI_LNC040164)". The record is from RNAcentral. Lineage: Eukaryota; Viridiplantae; Streptophyta; Magnoliopsida; Arecales; Arecaceae.
CAUUCGUAUUGUAUAUAGCCCCGAUGGAGAGCAAAUAGAAUAUUAUGUAUAAUGAUUGUGAAGUUCGAUGCUUGUUAUUAUUCUAUCGUAAUAAAUUUUUAGUUUUCUCGAGGGUCGGAUAAGAUCAUGGCAUAUCGACAAUGGAUCAUGGAUUUUAGAGGACCAGUAAAUUAUGCUGUUCAUUUGACUUUCUGCGUUUCCCCGGA